This 801-nucleotide ribosomal RNA is filed under the name Wolbachia pipientis. Its description in RNAcentral is "bacterial SSU rRNA". It matches the Rfam family "Bacterial small subunit ribosomal RNA", at positions 117 to 958 of the family's 1533-position model. The record is from RNAcentral. Lineage: Bacteria; Pseudomonadati; Pseudomonadota; Alphaproteobacteria; Rickettsiales; Anaplasmataceae.
AUAGGAUCUACCUAGUAGUACGGAAUAAUUGUUGGAAACGACAACUAAUACCGUAUACGCCCUACGGGGGAAAAAUUUAUUGCUAUUAGAUGAGCCUAUAUUAGAUUAGCUAGUUGGUGGGGUAAUAGCCUACCAAGGUAAUGAUCUAUAGCUGAUCUGAGAGGAUGAUCAGCCACACUGGAACUGAGAUACGGUCCAGACUCCUACGGGAGGCAGCAGUGGGGAAUAUUGGACAAUGGGCGAAAGCCUGAUCCAGCCAUGCCGCAUGAGUGAAGAAGGCCUUUGGGUUGUAAAGCUCUUUUAGUGAGGAAGAUAAUGACGGUACUCACAGAAGAAGUCCUGGCUAACUCCGUGCCAGCAGCCGCGGUAAUACGGAGAGGGCUAGCGUUAUUCGGAAUUAUUGGGCGUAAAGGGCGCGUAGGCUGGUUAAUAAGUUAAAAGUGAAAUCCCGAGGCUUAACCUUGGAAUUGCUUUUAAAACUAUUAAUCUAGAGAUUGAAAGAGGAUAGGGGAAUUCCUGAUGUAGAGGUAAAAUUCGUAAAUAUUAGGAGGAACACCAGUGGCGAAGGCGUCUAUCUGGUUCAAAUCUGACGCUGAAGCGCGAAGGCGUGGGGAGCAAACAGGAUUAGAUACCCUGGUAGUCCACGCUGUAAACGAUGAAUGUUAAAUAUGGGGAGUUUACUUUCUGUAUUACAGCUAACGCGUUAAACAUUCCGCCUGGGGACUACGGUCGCAAGAUUAAAACUCAAAGGAAUUGACGGGGACCCGCACAAGCGGUGGAGCAUGUGGUUAAUUCGAUGCA